This 240-nucleotide unclassified non-coding RNA is filed under the name soil metagenome. Its description in RNAcentral is "partial contains 5.8S ribosomal RNA, internal transcribed spacer 2, and large subunit ribosomal RNA". The record is from RNAcentral.
AACGAGGCCGACCUGCGGCUGAGUUACCUGCGGAGGGAUCAUUACCGAGAACCGGCGCCCUCGUGGCCCGACCCUCAAACCACCGCGUACCGAACUUGAACGUUGCCUCGGCGGGGCCCCCAGGGGACCCGCCGCAGGACGCAAACAAGACCGUUUUGUGUGACGAACGUCUGAUAUUCUUCUUCGCGAAUGCGAUAAAGUACAACUUUUAACAACGGAUCUCAGAUCGGAAGAGCACAC